AUUGAACGCUGGCGGCAGGCCUAACACAUGCAAGUCGAGCGGAUGAAGGGAGCUUGCUCCUGGAUUCAGCGGCGGACGGGUGAGUAAUGCCUAGGAAUCUGCCUGGUAUUGGGGGAUAACGUCCGGAAACGGGCGCUAAUACCGCAUACGUCCUGAGGGAGAAAGGGGGGGAUCUUCGGACCUCACGCUAUCAGAUGAGCCUAGGUCGGAUUAGCUAGUUGGUGGGGUAACGGCCUACCAAGGCGACGAUCCGUAACUGGUCUGAGAGGAUGAUCAGUCACACUGGAACUGAGACACGGUCCAGACUCCUACGGGAGGCAGCAGUGGGGAAUAUUGGACAAUGGGCGAAAGCCUGAUGCAGCCAUGCCGCGUGUGUGAAGAAGGUCUUCGGAUUGUAAAGCACUUUUAGUUGGGAGGAAGGGCAGUAAGUUAAUCCCUUGCUGUUUUGACGUUACCAACAGAAUAAGCACCGGCUAACUUCGUG
This 484-nucleotide ribosomal RNA is filed under the name uncultured bacterium. RNAcentral's name for it is "partial 16S ribosomal RNA". It matches the Rfam family "Bacterial small subunit ribosomal RNA", at positions 30 to 507 of the family's 1533-position model. The record is from RNAcentral.